Molecule: small RNA, 84 nt
Filed under: Flavobacterium croceum DSM 17960
Lineage: Bacteria; Pseudomonadati; Bacteroidota; Flavobacteriia; Flavobacteriales; Flavobacteriaceae
Description: Flavo-1 RNA
Rfam family: Flavo-1 RNA
Source: Rfam by way of RNAcentral
UCCUAGCCCUGAUGGAAGUGCAAAUCCUUUUAAACUAUUGUUGUACAAUAGUUUAAAAGAUUGAAACGUACAGCAGGAAUAAGG